CACGUAGGGCGCAAGCGUUGUCCGGAAUUAUUGGGCGUAAAGAGCUCGUAGGCGGUCUGUUGCGUCCGCUGUGAAAACCCGGGGCUUAACCCCUGGCUUGCAGUGGAUACGGACAGACUAGAGGUAGGUAGGGGAGAAUGGAAUUCCCGGUGUAGCGGUGAAAUGCGCAGAUAUCGGGAGGAACACCGGUGGCGAAGGCGGCGCACUGGACCAUAACUGACGCUGAGGCGCGAAAGCUAGGGGAGCAAACAGG
RNAcentral lists this ribosomal RNA (253 nucleotides) under uncultured bacterium. RNAcentral describes it as "partial 16S ribosomal RNA". It matches the Rfam family "Bacterial small subunit ribosomal RNA", at positions 524 to 776 of the family's 1533-position model. The record is from RNAcentral.